RNAcentral lists this ribosomal RNA (243 nucleotides) under uncultured bacterium. RNAcentral's name for it is "partial 16S ribosomal RNA". It matches the Rfam family "Bacterial small subunit ribosomal RNA", at positions 111 to 354 of the family's 1533-position model. The record is from RNAcentral.
UAACGCGUGAGCAAUCUGCCUUUGGAUGGGGGAUAACAGCCGGAAACGGCUGCUAAUACCGCAUAAUGCAACGGGAUCGCAUGGUUCUGUUGCCAAAGAUUUAUUGUCCAAAGAUGAGCUCGCGUCUGAUUAGCCAGUUGGCGGGGUAACGGCCCACCAAAGCGACGAUCAGUAGCCGGACUGAGAGGUUGAACGGCCACAUUGGGACUGAGACACGGCCCAGACUCCUACGGGAGGCAGCAG